Molecule: ribosomal RNA, 253 nt
Filed under: uncultured bacterium
Lineage: Bacteria
Description: partial 16S ribosomal RNA
Rfam family: Bacterial small subunit ribosomal RNA
Source: RNAcentral
UACGGGGAGGGCAAGCGUUGUUCGGAAUUACUGGGCGUAAAGGGCUCGUAGGCGGCCAACUAAGUCGGACGUGAAAUCCCCAGGCUCAACCUGGGAACUGCGUCCGAUACUGGAUGGCUUGAAUUCGGGAGAGGGAUGCAGAAUUCCACGUGUAGCAGUGAAAUGCGUAGAGAUGUGGAGGAACACCGAUGGCGAAGGCAGCCCCCUGGGCCAACACUGACGCUCAGGCACGAAAGCGUGGGGAGCAAACAGG